UAAGUAAGUCAGAUAGUCGCAGAUAUUAGGCAGGGGAUGCACUUGGCGAGCACCGCAAUUUGGGUUCGCAGGCUCAAAAGGAUGAAGAGUGACACUGCUAGGCUCUUUCAUCAUCUUGCUUUUUAUCUGAGGAAAGUCGGAGCUCCUUAGGGCAGGAUGCUGGAUAACGUCCAGUGGGGGUGACCCCAAGGCUAGUGCCACAGAAACAAACCGCCCGGUUUUUAUGACCGGGUAAGGGUGGAACGGUGAGGUAAGAGCUCACCAGCGUUCAGGCGACUGAACGGCUAGGUAAACCCCAUCCGGAGCAAGACCAAAUAGGGAAACAUUGAAGUGGCCCGCUUCGUUUCCGGGUUAGGUCGCUAGAGGUAUCAGGCAACUGGUAUCCCAGAUAGAUGACUAUCAAAUACAGAACUCCGCUUAUAGAUUUGCUUGCUUU
RNAcentral lists this RNase P RNA (436 nucleotides) under Syntrophomonadaceae bacterium. RNAcentral describes it as "RNase P RNA component class A". It matches the Rfam family "Bacterial RNase P class A". From Rfam's summary of the family: Ribonuclease P (RNase P) is a ubiquitous endoribonuclease, found in archaea, bacteria and eukarya as well as chloroplasts and mitochondria. Its best characterised activity is the generation of mature 5'-ends of tRNAs by cleaving the 5'-leader elements of precursor-tRNAs. The record is from RNAcentral. Lineage: Bacteria; Bacillati; Bacillota; Clostridia; Eubacteriales; Syntrophomonadaceae.